UUGGGUAUUUUUCAGUUAGGCCAGCUUACUUCGUGAAAUGGAAUCACCAACAUGGGAGGGAACUUCAGAGUACCAAUGGAAUGGGACGAUCCACACUUAAUCAUGUUUGGUGUAAUAUUUUGAAGCUAUAAUGCCCAGCAAAUGUUAAUUUUUUUUCUUUGGCAUACGUUGCCUUUAUGUCGUGUGUUGCGCUUGUCAAUAGAUAUUUGAAAGUUUCACCCCC
This 223-nucleotide long non-coding RNA is filed under the name Hordeum vulgare. RNAcentral describes it as "long non-coding RNA (HVUL_LNC019427)". Lineage: Eukaryota; Viridiplantae; Streptophyta; Magnoliopsida; Poales; Poaceae. The record is from RNAcentral.